This 433-nucleotide ribosomal RNA is filed under the name uncultured bacterium. RNAcentral describes it as "partial 16S ribosomal RNA". It matches the Rfam family "Bacterial small subunit ribosomal RNA", at positions 29 to 507 of the family's 1533-position model. The record is from RNAcentral.
AACGAACGCUGGCGGCAUGCCUAACACAUGCAAGUCGAACGAUGCUUUCGGGCGUGGUUGCGCACGCGUGCGGCGCGCGUGGGAAGCUGCCCGUGGGCUCCGGAUAACAGUGAGAAAUUGCUGCUAACACCGGAUGAUGUCUUCGGACCAAAGAUUUAUCGUCCAGGGAUGAGCCCGCGUAGGUUUAGCUAGUUGGUGGGGUAAUGGCCUACCAGGGCGACGAUCCUUAGCUGGUCUGAGAGAAUGAUCCGCCACACUGGGACUGAGACACGGUCCAGACUCCUGCGGGAGGCAGGAGUGCGGAAUAUUGCAAAAUGGGCGCAAGCAUGAACCAGCUCUGCCGGGUGAGUGAUGAAGGCCGUAGAGAAGAAAAGCUCGUUUACCCGGGAUGAUAAUGACAGUACCGGGAGAAUAAGCACCGGCUAACUUCGUG